This 669-nucleotide ribosomal RNA is filed under the name Triticum aestivum (bread wheat). Its description in RNAcentral is "partial small subunit ribosomal RNA". The record is from RNAcentral. Lineage: Eukaryota; Viridiplantae; Streptophyta; Magnoliopsida; Poales; Poaceae.
AUGGCGGCGGAGGUGAGCUCCAUCGCCAGGAUGCUCCGCGGGGAGGCCGGGAAGGGUAGGGCCGGCGCGGGGAAGGCGCCGGAGAUGGUGACCAUGGAUCUGCUCGGCGGGUGCGGCAGCGACGCCGGCGGGCAGGACGAGGUCGUCGACCUCGAGGUCAAGGUGCCCGCCGGCUGGGAGCGACGGCUUGAUCUGCUGUCCGGCAAGACGUUCCUGACCCCUCAUCGCCACCAGGCCGCCCAAGACGGCCACCAGGACCUCAACCUGCCUCCCACGGCAUCCACCGCUCCGGCCGCCGCCGUCACCACAUGCGCCGCGGUCUGCACCCUCGACAUGGUCCGCGACGCCCUGCAGCGCGCCGCUGCCGCGCGGUCAGCCCGCUCUCCGGACACUUCGUCCUCGUCGUCUGCGUCCACCUCCUCGUCGUGCCCCUCCCUGGGAAAGCGCAGCCGCUCGCCUCCUUCAAGCACGGCGUCGCCCCCCGCGAACCCGGCCAUGCGCGCGUCCGCGUGCCCGUCCUGCCUCACGUACGUGCUCAUCGCCGAGGCCGACCCCCGGUGCCCGCGGUGCACGUCCAAGGUGCCGCCGCUCCCCACCAAGCCCGCCGCCCACAAUAGCGGGAAGAAGCCGAAGAUUGACCUGAAUGCUGCCGCCGAUGAGACCGAGUGA